AGAGUUUGAUCCUGGCUCAGGAUGAACGCUAGCUACAGGCUUAACACAUGCAAGUCGAGGGGCAGCAUUGUCAUAGCAAUAUGACAGAUGGCGACCGGCGCACGGGUGAGUAACACGUAUCCAACCUGCCUUCCACUCGGGAAUAGCCUUUCGAAAGAAAGAUUAAUGCCCGAUGGCACUGAAAGAGGUCAUCCUUUUUCAGUUAAAGAAUUUCGGUGGAAGAUGGGGAUGCGUUCCAUUAGCUUGUUGGCGGGGUAACGGCCCACCAAGGCAUCGAUGGAUAGGGGUUCUGAGAGGAAGGUCCCCCACAUUGGAACUGAGACACGGUCCAAACUCCUACGGGAGGCAGCAGUGAGGAAUAUUGGUCAAUGGGCGAGAGCCUGAACCAGCCAAGUAGCGUGAAGGAUGACUGCCCUAUGGGUUGUAAACUUCUUUUAUAAGGGAAUAAAACGGGCCACGUGUGGCCUUUUGCACGUACCUUAUGUAUAAGGAUCGGCUAACUCCGUGCCAGCAGCCGCGGUAAUACGGAGGAUCCGAGCGUUAUCCGGAUUUAUUGGGUUUAAAGGGAGCGCAGACGGGGUCUUAAGUCAGUUGUGAAAGUUUGCGGCUCAACCGUAAAAUUGCAGUUGAUACUGGGGCUCUUGAGUGCAGUAUAGGCAGGCGGAAUUCGUGGUGUAGCGGUGAAAUGCUUAGAUAUCACGAAGAACUCCGAUUGCGAAGGCAGCCUGCUGGACUGUAACUGACGUUCAUGCUCGAAAGUGCGGGUAUCAAACAGGAUUAGAUACCCUGGUAGUCCGCACAGUAAACGAUGAAUACUCGCUGUUGGCGAUACACAGUCAGCGGCCAAGCGAAAGCGUUAAGUAUUCCACCUGGGGAGUACGCCGGCAACGGUGAAACUCAAAGGAAUUGACGGGGGCCCGCACAAGCGGAGGAACAUGUGGGUUUAAUUCGAUGAUACGCGAGGAACCUUUACCCGGGCUUGAAUUGCUAAUGAAUAUGGCGGAAACGUCAUAGCCGCAAGGCAUUAGUGAAGGUGCUGCAUGGGUUGUCGUCAGCUCGUGCCGUGAGGUGUCGGCUUAAGUGCCAUAACGAGCGCAACCCUUAUCUAUAGUUACCAUCAGGCAAUGCUGGGGACUCUAUGGAGACUGCCGUCGUAAGAUGUGAGGAAGGUUGGGAUGACGUCAAAUCAGCACGGCCCUUACGUCCGGGGCUACACACGUGUUACAAUGGGGGGUACAGAAGGCAGCUACACAGCGAUGUGAUGCCAAUCCCAAAAACCUCUCUCAGUUCGGACUGGAGUCUGCAACCCGACUCCACGAAGCUGGAUUCGCUAGUAAUCGCGCAUCAGCCACGGCGCGGUGAAUACGUUCCCGGGCCUUGUACACACCGCCCGUCAAGCCAUGAAAGCCGGGGGUACCUGAAGUGCGUAACCGCGAGGAGCGCCCUAGGGUAAAACUGGUGAUUGGGGCUAAGUCGUAACAAGGU
Molecule: ribosomal RNA, 1485 nt
Filed under: Bacteroides helcogenes
Lineage: Bacteria; Pseudomonadati; Bacteroidota; Bacteroidia; Bacteroidales; Bacteroidaceae
Description: bacterial SSU rRNA
Rfam family: Bacterial small subunit ribosomal RNA
Source: RNAcentral